RNAcentral lists this ribosomal RNA (462 nucleotides) under uncultured Pelagibacterales bacterium. RNAcentral's name for it is "bacterial SSU rRNA". It matches the Rfam family "Bacterial small subunit ribosomal RNA", at positions 1071 to 1533 of the family's 1533-position model. Lineage: Bacteria; Pseudomonadati; Pseudomonadota; Alphaproteobacteria; Candidatus Pelagibacterales. The record is from RNAcentral.
GAGAGUCGGUAGUCCGAUAACGAGCGCACCCUUAUCCUUAGUUGCCAGCACGUAAUGGUGGGGACUCUAGGGAAACUGCCCGGGAUAACCGGAAGGAAGGUGGGGUCGACGUCAAGUCAGUAUGUCCCUUACGUUCAGGGCUACACACGUAAUACAAUGGGGAGUACAGAGGGUAGCAAUACUGCGAAGUGGAGCCAAUCCCAAAAAACUCCCCCAAGUUCGGAUUGCAGUCUGCAACUCGACUGCAUGAAGCAGGAAUCGCUAGUAAUCGCGCAUCAGCAUGGCGCGGUGAAUACGUUCCCGGGUCUUGUACACACCGCCCGUCACGCCAUGGAAGCCGGUAGCACCCAAUGUCAGUGUCCUAACCUUCGGGAAGGAGCUGCUUAAGGUGAGAUUGGUAACUGGGGCGAAGUCGUAACAAGGUAGCCGUACCGGAAGGUGCGGCUGGAUUACCUCCUUUCU